UGCCUUUAGUUAACCUAUUAAAGGUACAUCCUGCCCAGUGAAAUUUUUAACGGCCGCGGUACCCUGACCGUGCGAAGGUAGCAUAAUCAUUUGCCUCUUAAUUGGUGGCUAGAAUGAAUGGACAAACGAGAUUAUUACUGUCUCCUUUACGCCAAAAUAAAUUAGUCUUCAGGUGAAGAAACCUGAAUCAAAAUAAAAGACAAGAAGACCCUGUCGAGUUUUACUUAACUUUAGCCACUAUACCAUUCACCCUCCUAAAUAAAGUUUGGUUGGGGCGACCAAGGAAUACAAGAAACUUCCUACUCCUCUAGAAUCCUAAUUCACAUAAAUUUGACCCUAAACCUAGAUCAACAAAAUAAACUACCGCAGGGAUAACAGGCUUAUCUUUCUAGAGAGUUCAAAUCGAUAGAAAGGUUUGGCACCUCGAUGUUGGCUUAGAGUAACUAAUCGAUGCAGCAGUCGUUUCAAGUUAGUUUGUUCAACUAUUAAAUCUCU
This 495-nucleotide ribosomal RNA is filed under the name Mexieulepis weberi. Its description in RNAcentral is "partial 16S ribosomal RNA". It matches the Rfam family "Bacterial large subunit ribosomal RNA", at positions 1829 to 2597 of the family's 2925-position model. Lineage: Eukaryota; Metazoa; Annelida; Polychaeta; Phyllodocida; Eulepethidae. The record is from RNAcentral.